UUAAGCGACUAAGCGUACACGGUGGAUGCCCUGGCAGUCAGAGGCGAUGAAGGACGUGCUAAUCUGCGAUAAGCGUCGGUGAGGUGAUAUGAACCGUUAUAACCGGCGAUGUCCGAAUGGGGAAACCCAGUGUGUUUCGACACACUAUCAUUAACUGAAUCCAUAGGUUAAUGAGGCGAACCGGGGGAACUGAAACAUCUAAGUACCCCGAGGAAAAGAAAUCAACCGAGAUUCCCCCAGUAGCGGCGAGCGAACGGGGAGGAGCCCAGAGCCUGAAUCAGUGUGUGUGUUAGUGGAAGCGUCUGGAAAGGCGCGCGAUACAGGGUGACAGCCCCGUACACAAAAAUGCACAUGCUGUGAGCUCGAUGAGUAGGGCGGGACACGUGGUAUCCUGUCUGAAUAUGGGGGGACCAUCCUCCAAGGCUAAAUACUCCUGACUGACCGAUAGUGAACCAGUACCGUGAGGGAAAGGCGAAAAGAACCCCGGCGAGGGGAGUGAAAAAGAACCUGAAACCGUGUACGUACAAGCAGUGGGAGCCCUGAUUUAUCAGGGUGACUGCGUACCUUUUGUAUAAUGGGUCAGCGACUUAUAUUCUGUAGCAAGGUUAACCGAAUAGGGGAGCCGGAGGGAAACCGAGUCUUAACUGGGCGUUAAGUUGCAGGGUAUAGACCCGAAACCCGGUGAUCUAGCCAUGGGCAGGUUGAAGGUUGGGUAACACUAACUGGAGGACCGAACCGACUAAUGUUGAAAAAUUAGCGGAUGACUUGUGGCUGGGGGUGAAAGGCCAAUCAAACCGGGAGAUAGCUGGUUCUCCCCGAAAGCUAUUUAGGUAGCGCCUCGUGAAUUCAUCUCCGGGGGUAGAGCACUGUUUCGGCAAGGGGGUCAUCCCGACUUACCAACCCGAUGCAAACUGCGAAUACCGGAGAAUGUUAUCACGGGAGACACACGGCGGGUGCUAACGUCCGUCGUGAAGAGGGAAACAACCCAGACCGCCAGCUAAGGUCCCAAAGUCAUGGUUAAGUGGGAAACGAUGUGGGAAGGCCCAGACAGCCAGGAUGUUGGCUUAGAAGCAGCCAUCAUUUAAAGAAAGCGUAAUAGCUCACUGGUCGAGUCGGCCUGCGCGGAAGAUGUAACGGGGCUAAACCAUGCACCGAAGCUGCGGCAGCGACACUGUGUGUUGUUGGGUAGGGGAGCGUUCUGUAAGCCUGUGAAGGUGUACUGUGAGGUAUGCUGGAGGUAUCAGAAGUGCGAAUGCUGACAUAAGUAACGAUAAAGCGGGUGAAAAGCCCGCUCGCCGGAAGACCAAGGGUUCCUGUCCAACGUUAAUCGGGGCAGGGUGAGUCGACCCCUAAGGCGAGGCCGAAAGGCGUAGUCGAUGGGAAACAGGUUAAUAUUCCUGUACUUGGUGUUACUGCGAAGGGGGGACGGAGAAGGCUAUGUUGGCCGGGCGACGGUUGUCCCGGUUUAAGCGUGUAGGCUGGUUUUCCAGGCAAAUCCGGAGAAUCAAGGCUGAGGCGUGAUGACGAGGCACUACGGUGCUGAAGCGACAAAUGCCCUGCUUCCAGGAAAAGCCUCUAAGCAUCAGGUAACAUCAAAUCGUACCCCAAACCGACACAGGUGGUCAGGUAGAGAAUACCAAGGCGCUUGAGAGAACUCGGGUGAAGGAACUAGGCAAAAUGGUGCCGUAACUUCGGGAGAAGGCACGCUGAUACGUAGGUGAAGUCCCUCGCGGAUGGAGCUGAAAUCAGUCGAAGAUACCAGCUGGCUGCAACUGUUUAUUAAAAACACAGCACUGUGCAAACACGAAAGUGGACGUAUACGGUGUGACGCCUGCCCGGUGCCGGAAGGUUAAUUGAUGGGGUCAGCGCAAGCGAAGCUCUUGAUCGAAGCCCCGGUAAACGGCGGCCGUAACUAUAACGGUCCUAAGGUAGCGAAAUUCCUUGUCGGGUAAGUUCCGACCUGCACGAAUGGCGUAAUGAUGGCCAGGCUGUCUCCACCCGAGACUCAGUGAAAUUGAACUCGCUGUGAAGAUGCAGUGUACCCGCGGCAAGACGGAAAGACCCCGUGAACCUUUACUAUAGCUUGACACUGAACACUGGUCCUUGAUGUGUAGGAUAGGUGGGAGGCUUUGAAGUGUGGACGCCAGUCUGCAUGGAGCCGUCCUUGAAAUACCACCCUUUAAUGGCUGGUGUUCUAACGUUGGCCCCUUACCGGGGUUGCGGACAGUGUCUGGUGGGUAGUUUGACUGGGGCGGUCUCCUCCUAAAGAGUAACGGAGGAGCACGAAGGUUGGCUAAUCCUGGUCGGACAUCAGGAGGUUAGUGCAAUGGCAUAAGCCAGCUUGACUGCGAGCGUGACGGCGCGAGCAGGUGCGAAAGCAGGUCAUAGUGAUCCGGUGGUUCUGAAUGGAAGGGCCAUCGCUCAACGGAUAAAAGGUACUCCGGGGAUAACAGGCUGAUACCGCCCAAGAGUUCAUAUCGACGGCGGUGUUUGGCACCUCGAUGUCGGCUCAUCACAUCCUGGGGCUGAAGUAGGUCCCAAGGGUAUGGCUGUUCGCCAUUUAAAGUGGUACGCGAGCUGGGUUUAGAACGUCGUGAGACAGUUCGGUCCCUAUCUGCCGUGGGCGCUGGAGAACUGAGGGGGGCUGCUCCUAGUACGAGAGGACCGGAGUGGACGCAUCACUGGUGUUCGGGUUGUCAUGCCAAUGGCACUGCCCGGUAGCUAAAUGCGGAAGAGAUAAGUGCUGAAAGCAUCUAAGCACGAAACUUGCCCCGAGAUGAGUUCUCCCUGACUCCUUGAGAGUCCUGAAGGAACGUUGAAGACGACGACGUUGAUAGGCCGGGUGUGUAAGCGCAGCGAUGCGUUGAGCUAACCGGUACUAAUGAACCGUGAGGCUUAACCUU
Molecule: ribosomal RNA, 2903 nt
Filed under: Escherichia albertii
Lineage: Bacteria; Pseudomonadati; Pseudomonadota; Gammaproteobacteria; Enterobacterales; Enterobacteriaceae
Description: bacterial LSU rRNA
Rfam family: Bacterial large subunit ribosomal RNA
Source: RNAcentral